ACUUUGGUUCGGAUUCGGUCGAGUUUCGGUUCUUUGGAGACAUGAUUUAUUUCUGUUCGGAUAUUCUUAAAGUUCAGAUUUUGGUUUAUUUAUGUUGGAUUCGAUUUUGUUCAAAUUCAAUUUUUGGAUUGUUUUGGUUUUAAUUUUCGGAUUGGAUUCGAUUCAGAUUUUCAUAUUCGAUUUGAUUUUUUGGAUUUUUUUUGAAUAUUGGCUAAAUAACCAGAGUCUGUGGUGAUUUAGAAAAUAUU
Molecule: long non-coding RNA, 248 nt
Filed under: Brassica napus (rape)
Lineage: Eukaryota; Viridiplantae; Streptophyta; Magnoliopsida; Brassicales; Brassicaceae
Description: long non-coding RNA (BNAP_LNC007573)
Source: RNAcentral